RNAcentral lists this ribosomal RNA (623 nucleotides) under uncultured bacterium. RNAcentral's name for it is "partial 16S ribosomal RNA". The stretch from base 1 to 534 matches the Rfam family "Bacterial small subunit ribosomal RNA", at positions 338 to 873 of the family's 1533-position model. The record is from RNAcentral.
CCUACGGGAGGCAGCAGUGAGGAAUAUUGGACAAUGGGCGCAAGCCUGAUCCAGCCAUGCCGCGUGCAGGAAGAAGCAUCUAUGGUGUGUAAACUGCUUUUGUACAGGAAGAAACACUCCCUCGUGAGGGAGCUUGACGGUACUGUAAGAAUAAGGACCGGCUAACUCCGUGCCAGCAGCCGCGGUAAUACGGAGGGUCCGAGUGUUAUCCGGAAUCAUUGGGUUUAAAGGGUCCGUAGGCGGUUUAAUAAGUCAGUGGUGAAAUCUGGUCGCUCAACGAUCAAACGGCCAUUGAUACUGUUAGACUUGAAUUAUAAGGAAGUAACUAGAAUAUGUAGUGUAGCGGUGAAAUGCUUAGAUAUUACAUGGAAUACCAAUUGCGAAGGCAGGUUACUACUUAUGGAUUGACGCUGAUGGACGAAAGCGUGGGGAGCGAACAGGAUUAGAUACCCUGGUAGUCCACGCCGUAAACGAUGGAUACUAGCUGUUCGGAGCAAUCUGNGUGNGUAGACGAGUAGAGUAGUAGUACCGACCGUACGGAGGUAACGGUUACGUCGAGAGUAGUUAACGUUACGAAGAAGUUAGAGGCGNGAGAGAGCGACGGACGACGACGAGGGAGGAGG